AUUGAACGCUGGCGGCAUGCCUUACACAUGCAAGUCGAACGGCAGCACGGGUGCUUGCACCUGGUGGCGAGUGGCGAACGGGUGAGUAAUACAUCGGAACAUGUCCUGUAGCGGGGGAUAGCCCGGCGAAAGCCGGAUUAAUACCGCAUACGAUCUACGGAUGAAAGCGGGGGACCUUCGGGCCUCGCGCUAUCGGGUUGGCCGAUGGCUGAUUAGCUAGUUGGUGGGGUAAAGGCCUACCAAGGCGACGAUCAGUAGCUGGUCUGAGAGGAUGACCAGCCACACUGGGACUGAGACACGGCCCAGACUCCUACGGGAGGCAGCAGUGGGAAAUUUUGGACAAUGGGCGAAAGCCUGAUCCAGCAAUGCCGCGUGUGUGAAGAAGGCCUUCGGGUUGUAAAGCACUUUUGUCCGGAAAGAAAGCCUUGGCCCUAAUACGGUCGGGGGAUGACGGUACCGGAAGAAUAAGCACCGGCUAACUACGUG
This 486-nucleotide ribosomal RNA is filed under the name uncultured bacterium. RNAcentral's name for it is "partial 16S ribosomal RNA". It matches the Rfam family "Bacterial small subunit ribosomal RNA", at positions 30 to 507 of the family's 1533-position model. The record is from RNAcentral.